RNAcentral lists this unclassified non-coding RNA (3731 nucleotides) under Leishmania donovani. Its description in RNAcentral is "gene:LdHU3.29.3440(CDS-product:hypothetical_prote in_conserved)". Lineage: Eukaryota; Euglenozoa; Kinetoplastea; Trypanosomatida; Trypanosomatidae. The record is from RNAcentral.
UACGCCACUGUGCUCCUUCCUCCUACCGACACAGCCGACAGAGAGAAGAUACGAUCUAUAUAGAAGGAAAGGAAAGCAUUCUCAGGAAAGGUGGGAGCAGGACACGUGACAGAACUUGGUAGAACUUCCUUUGAGCGAUGAUGCAUGCCAGGACGUGCAGACGUGCUCCCUGAGUCUCUCUCCUUUUGUGUCCGUGCGACGGAACUGAGGGGGGGAUCGUCUUUUUACGUGCAUGCGUAGAGCAGAUCAGCACUGCAUCGAGCCCCACGCAACCACAUGCCAUUGCACCAUUCCAUGAGUACCACUUCCUCACCCGACGCGGCCUCGUGUGAUGUGGAGAAGGAAAGGAAGUGCAUCUCCCCCGUGACGCGGACGGGUAAGUCGUUCGUGGAGUGCGCUCUCAUCGACCUCCCAGAAAAGUACAGCAGCGCCUUUCCUUACCUGCGAGGUGCUCGACUUUUCUUCUUUGACGUGGUGAGUAAGCUCAACCGUAUCGGUGCCCGCGACAAGCGUGUCGUCUUUGUUACAGACUACACGAUCGGUGUAGCCUCGAAGCGGGGGCGCGUCUCGCGGUGCGCCAAAGUCGAGGACAUUUCGGAACUUAUCUGCGAUGCACAGGCGCGUGCCCUUGGCGUCCGCAUGCGGAGUCGCCCCUUCGCCAUUGCACCCAAGGACUUCCCUCGCCGGAACUGCUUCCACGAGAUGCCGGUGGACCUCUUGCUGCACGCGACCUCUUCUGCACAGUAUGAGGCACUCAUAAACGUGUUGAGCUUCGUGCAUCAUACCUCCACCCACGAGGCGCUGCUGUGCCGCUCGCUCAAGCAGUACGAGACGUGGAAGGCGUCACUGGUUUUGGCGCCUGACGGAUCGCGUGUGAAGAAGGCAAUGCAGUAUUAUGCCAUACCCGUGCCCCCGUCGGAGGGGAGCACUGGCGCCGCCACGCUAAGUGCUACUCGAUCGCAGGAGACAAGUGCAAGCCUAUGGGCUGUUCGUGCACCGAGGCAAGCUGCCCUCCUCUCUGCAGGUGACUCAGCGUCACGCUUCACGAGCGCACCGGAUGUGUCUGCCGCAGUGCCGACGCUGCGACACUGGUCCUCGCUGGGUGCCAGCUCUUCUUUCACUCCCUCUGGCGUUGGCGGUCAUCGGACGGCGCUGGAAUUGUCGCCGUUCAGCCUCAGCCCAUCGCCGACGCCUCCGCUAGUCGGGUUCUCAAGGGAUAUGGUGACCGUGCCGACCUCUGCAACGCGUCGUGGUGGCAACCCGCUGCUGAAGGCUGACAGAAAGGUCCCCAAUACGUCGUCUAAAAAAAAGCAGGGUAACAACGAGGGUGCAGCUUCGGACCAAGCCUUGACAAGACCGCCGCGGCGGAGUCUCCGAGCUAGGCUUCUGUAGUUUUCACCUCUGGCAGCCUGGAGCGGCUGACUGUAGCGGCGGCGAGGGGCGGAACGACGAUGAGGAGCCUCGCAGCGAGGCUCAAGAGGCGGCAGCUCCGCGACGCUGAGCUUUGUCGCCACCGGCCCUCGGAGAAGCGCGAGCUGGACGGCCCCAUGCGUUACCUCGGUUCCUUCGCGCCAGCCAGCGACAGCUGUCACCUGAUGAACGGCACCGGAAAUACAUCGAUUUUCUCUGCCUCUCCCAGCGGCGGCUAGACUCUCGGCGAGGCGCGACGGAUCGAGAGAGAGGUAGCAGCAGCGUCUCGAUAGGCAGUGCUUCAGCUCCGUGAUGCGCCGCGGCGCCACUGGCAGUCCAAGGAAACGGUGCAGGCCUAUUAAGAGGAGCUGCUGGAACGCCGCUGACGCAGCUGCGCGCGUAUCAGUAUCCCAGAUCCACUAACCACACCUUUCGACGGAGCGGAUGCUGCACCGCGUUCAGCAUCGGCUCGAUCUGAGCGAGCGUGCUCGAGCGCGAUCGCCGACGCGCACUGACGCCUUCAUUACCGUCCCCCGUGAGUUAAUCGAUGCCUUCGUGGAUGAUUAGGGUCGCAACCAAGAUGAAAUCGCCCACUUUCGGCUUCAGCUCCAGGAAGACAGGGUGAGAGCGGCCCUGACCGGUGCGGCGUUGACUUUCCACGUUUUCUUCUCUCUUCGCUCUCUUCGUGGUUUUGCAGCUGUUCUUAUGUGAUUGCCCGUACAGAACGAGAAGAAUGGUGUGAGGGCGGUCGUUCGUCAGCCUCUCCCCCUCCCCCUAUCUACCGACGACAGAUGUGCCAUAGCCCCUCCCAUUCUCUAGCCAUGGCGCGCUGUUCUUUGAUGUGCUUUCUUCUUUUCCUUUGCGUUUUACUUCCUCUCCGGCGAGAGAGGAGGAGGGGGAGGGCGGUGCGCUGCGGCCCUUCUUUCUUCCCGCUUCUCUUAUACAUGUGCAAUCUUAUUAACUUUUCAAUGCGCUUGUAUCUCUCUCUCUCUCUGUGUGCCUAUGAACGUGCGUAUACGUUCGCGCGUGCGUGUGCGUGUGUGUGUGUGUGUGUGUCUGCCCUUUGUGGUAUACUUCCUGUAUGUAUUUUCUUUGCAUUCUCAUCGUUUUUCGCGGCUGGAUCACGGUGGUGUUGACAUAGGUGAUCCGGGCAGUGAGCUGUGCACUGGUAUGUCUGCAGCGUCUCUUCGCGUUCUUUUUCUCUCAUAGCCGGCCCCUUUUUGUGUUUGUUGUCUUGGGUCUUUGUGGAACCCUGACGACGAGUGGACACCUCUCAGUGCGUGGUAUCUCAGGAGUCAGUACACCCAACUCUGUGUGGGGAAGCUAAGCAGCCUUCCCCCCUCCUCCUACCCCCGCCAAUGCCGAACCACCUCUGGUGGUGACAGGGCCAAGUGCCUGCGAUGUGGGAAGGCGAGGCCGAUUCAGCGCUACUGACGUCGAUGGUCAGGUCCUGGUUGGCGUGGCGUUGGAGCGACCUGCGUCGAUGAACUCGUCUGUGCCAUCCAUGUGAUGCGCGAAGUGCCAGCGCGACUCGUACGUAUCCCACCCCCGGGCCUCACACUGCCCCACUGGUGUGGGGCGCCCGGGCCACGUUGAAAGAUGCACUGGGCGGCGACCCGCGAUGCGGAUGGAUGGGCAGGGUUCGAGGCAGGGGCCGCGCUCAGCCGACUGAGUCGGCGCAUGGCUGUAACGCGCGUGUGUCUAGCGCUGCUUUGCACCACGCGGAUGUGGCCUGCGGCAGUGCCAGUGGGUUGGCGUGCAGCUCAUCUCACACGGCCGAAAGGGUGGUCACGUUAAAGGAAUAGCUUAUAUAUUUUUUCCUCUUCCGUUCUUGUCUUGCGGCUUGAAUAGCUAUCUACACCCUGUCAGGCUUUCUCUUUCUCCCCCUAUGCUCCUUCUGCUCCACCCUUCUUGUGUGCUGAUGCAAGCGUCUCGCUGAUUGGCGAAGAGGGUCCAUCGUCGUCACCACCGAUCAGCGUGGGACGUGAGGAGGAUGGAAGGGACGAGCACACAACAGAGCGACCGGGCAAGGGGGGUGAGCGUUGACGCCAUGCACGUCUGCACGUGCGUGUAUGUGCGUGGAGGGGACAAGCAAGCACGUGCAGUGCAGAAAGAAAGACAACCGAGGCAAAAAUCGAGAUGCCGUGAUAGAUCACCGCACCGAAUGCGUGGAUGCUGUGCCGCGGUUCCAAACAACAAAAAGUGGAAGGGCCGCGGCAUGUGUUGAGCAGACAUGGAGCUCGUGUGUGUGUGUGUGUAGCGCCUAGAGAUUCAUCGCGGCACCUUAGUGUUCUGUUACUUUGCCUGGUGUGCUCCACUCG